UGUUCAAGAACAUGAAUGUGGCCAUGAUAUGGAAAUGUGAAUCAUCUCUGAUUGUACGGUUUGACCAUCGUGGCUCCAGCUGCUCUGAGAGCUUCAGAUCCAGAGCGUCUCUGUCUGAGGAUCAGAUCUCCAGAGGAAACGGCGAUCUGCUGCUGAGAGGAUGAAGGUUGAUGAUGAGGGCAGUUACAGGUGUGAUGCAUUUACACCUGGUGUCUCUUAUAGACGUGUUGUUCACCUUGCAGUAGAAGCUCCAGUCUCUGACAUCAGGAUCCAUCAGGAUGGAAACAGGAUCACCUGCAGCUCAGAGGGGAUCUACCCUCAACCUGAACUCACCUGGUCCACUGAGCCUCCAUCCAACACGGCUCUGCAGAACAGAACCACAGUCCAUCAGACUGAGGAGAAGCUUUAUGACAUCAGCAGCUCUCUGACGGGUCCAGAUGGUCCAGAUCUGAUCACUGAAAUAUCCUGAAUGAGGUUCAGGAUUUCUGAACAAAAGGUUUCAUUAGUCAGCAGAUUACUAUUAAACUUCCAAGCUAAGUUUGAAGCUGGUUUAGAUUUAUUCAGAGAGAGAAACAAGGUGACUGAACAAUGAUCUGUUAGAGGAGCCGCUGAGAUUUCACAGCUUGAAUAUUAUUUACCAUUUUAUGAGGGAUUAACCAAUAAUCUGGCCAUUUCCAGAAGGAUUGAACCAGGAGUAUAUUAGAAUUAGGAUUUCUAAUUCUCCAGCAGUCUGUCAAAUUUGUACUAGAGAUUAAGUUUACAAAAAUAUCAUCGUAAAUGUGGUGCUGCCCCCUAGAGGGGAAACGAUCGAUUGAUCCAUCUGGAGUUACAUUGAAAUCUUCUAAAAUAACCUGAUCAGUGGAAUAUUUUAAUUUCCAAUGUUUUAUCAUCACUCCGAGGUCAGCAAAAAAAAUACUAUUUAUCGCUUUA
Molecule: long non-coding RNA, 930 nt
Organism: Poecilia latipinna (sailfin molly)
Lineage: Eukaryota; Metazoa; Chordata; Actinopteri; Cyprinodontiformes; Poeciliidae
Exons: 2
Source: RefSeq, a predicted model, not a curated record